UGCGUAGGUGGCGUGGUAAGUCAGAUGUGAAAGCCCGGGGCUCAACCUCGGAAUUGCAUCCGAUACUGCUGUGCUAGAGUACUGGAGGGGUGACUAGAAUUCUCGGUGUAGCAGUGAAAUGCGUAGAUAUCGAGAGGAAUACCAAAGGCGUAGGCAGGUCACUGGACAGUUACUGACACUGAGGCACGAAGGCCAGGGGAGCAAACG
This 207-nucleotide ribosomal RNA is filed under the name uncultured bacterium. RNAcentral's name for it is "partial 16S ribosomal RNA". It matches the Rfam family "Bacterial small subunit ribosomal RNA", at positions 568 to 774 of the family's 1533-position model. The record is from RNAcentral.